GUCACUUUGGCGGAGUGGUUAACGCGCUGCCCUGCUAAUUCCAAGCUUAGGCAGUUCCCUCGGGAGCGUAGGUUCGAAUCCUGCAGGUGACG
Non-coding RNA from Trichocladium antarcticum, 92 nucleotides. Lineage: Eukaryota; Fungi; Ascomycota; Sordariomycetes; Sordariales; Chaetomiaceae. The record is from the annotation of a GenBank genome assembly.